This 497-nucleotide ribosomal RNA is filed under the name uncultured bacterium. Its description in RNAcentral is "partial 16S ribosomal RNA". It matches the Rfam family "Bacterial small subunit ribosomal RNA", at positions 28 to 507 of the family's 1533-position model. The record is from RNAcentral.
GAUGAACGCUGGCGGCGUGCCUAAUACAUGCCAGUCGAGCGAACAGACGAGGAGCUUGCUCCUCUGACGUUAGCGGCGGACGGGUGAGUAACACGUGGAUAACCUACCUAUAAGACUGGGAUAACUUCGGGAAACCGGAGCUAAUACCGGAUAAUAUAUUGAACCGCAUGGUUCAAUAGUGAAAGACGGUUUUGCUGUCACUUAUAGAUGGAUCCGCGCCGCAUUAGCUAGUUGGUAAGGUAACGGCUUACCAAGGCAACGAUGCGUAGCCGACCUGAGAGGGUGAUCGGCCACACUGGAACUGGGACACGGUCCAGACUCCUACGGGAGGCAGCAGUAGGGAAUCUUCCGCAAUGGGCGAAAGCUUGACGGAGCAACGCCGCGUGAGUGAUGAAGGUCUUCGGAUCGUAAAACUCCGUUAUUAGGGAAGAACAAAUGUGUAAGUAACUAUGCACGUCUUGACGGUACCUAAUCAGAAAGCCACGGCUAACUACGUG